This 253-nucleotide ribosomal RNA is filed under the name uncultured bacterium. RNAcentral describes it as "partial 16S ribosomal RNA". It matches the Rfam family "Bacterial small subunit ribosomal RNA", at positions 524 to 776 of the family's 1533-position model. The record is from RNAcentral.
UACGUAGGGUGCAAGCGUUGUCCGGAAUUAUUGGGCGUAAAGAGCUCGUAGGCGGUCUGUCGCGUCGGCUGUGAAAUCCCGAGGCUCAACCUCGGGUCUGCAGUCGAUACGGGCAGGCUAGAGUUCGGUAGGGGAGACUGGAAUUCCUGGUGUAGCGGUGAAAUGCGCAGAUAUCAGGAGGAACACCGGUGGCGAAGGCGGGUCUCUGGGCCGAUACUGACGCUGAGGAGCGAAAGCGUGGGGAGCGAACAGG